Molecule: ribosomal RNA, 406 nt
Filed under: uncultured bacterium
Lineage: Bacteria
Description: partial 16S ribosomal RNA
Rfam family: Bacterial small subunit ribosomal RNA
Source: RNAcentral
AUUGAACGCUGGCGGCAGGCCUAACACAUGCAAGUCGAACGAGUGGCGGACGGGUGAGUAAUGUCUGGGAAACUGCCUGAUGGAGGGGGAUCACUACUGGAAACGGUAGCUAAUACCGCAUACCAUCGGAUGUGCCCAGAUGGGAUUCGCUAGUAGGUGGGGUACAGGCUCACCUAGGCGACGAUCCCUAGCUGGUCUGAGAGGAUGACCAGCCACACUGGAACGGAGACACGGGCCAGACUCCUACGGGAGGCAGCAGUGGGGAAUAUUGCACAAUGGGCGCAAGCCUGAUGCAGCCAUGCCGCGUGUAGGAAGAAGGCCUUCGGGUUGGAAAGUACUUUCAGCGGGGAGGCGUUACCCGCAGAAGAAGCACCGGCUAACUCCGUGCCAGCAGCCGCGGUAAUAC